Molecule: ribosomal RNA, 258 nt
Filed under: uncultured bacterium
Lineage: Bacteria
Description: partial 16S ribosomal RNA
Rfam family: Bacterial small subunit ribosomal RNA
Source: RNAcentral
CGGCACGGGUGAGUAACACGUAUGCAACCUGCCUGCCACAGCCGGAUAAUCGGGAGAAAUUCCGUCUAAUACGGCAUAAUGCAUCGACGGGACAUCCUGUUGGUGCCAAAGGUUAAUUCCGGUGGCGGAUGGGCAUGCGUCGCAUUAGUUAGUUGGCGGUGUAACGGACCACCAAGACGACGAUGCGUAGGGGUUCUGAGAGGAAGGUCCCCCACACUGGUACUGAGACACGGACCAGACUCCUACGGAAGGCAGCAG